Molecule: non-coding RNA, 745 nt
Filed under: Phyllotreta undulata
Lineage: Eukaryota; Metazoa; Arthropoda; Insecta; Coleoptera; Chrysomelidae
Source: RNAcentral
GUAAAAUUUAAUUUUAGUUUAAAGAUUAAGUAAUAUUUUUUAUUAUAUAUAAAUUUUAUUUAAAGAAAUUGUUUGUAGUAUUUAAAUUUAUUAAUAUAAUAAUUUAUGAUUUAGAAAUAAUAUUAAGUAUAGACUAAUUUUGUGCCAGCAGUUGCGGUUAUACAAAUUAUACAAUUUAAUUAUUUUAAUUUAAAUUAAUUAGAGUAUAAGUUAUGUAAUUAGUUAUUUUGAGGUGAAAUUCUAUAAUUUAUAAUAAUAACUUUUUUUUGUUAGUAAAAUUUUUAAAUUUUAGUUAUAAACUAGGAUUAGAUACCCUAUUAUUUAAAUAGUUGCAAUAAAAUUAAAUUAUUAAUAGCUAUGUUCUUUAAAAUUAAAAAAUUUGGCGGUAUUUUAAUCUUUUCAGAGGAACCUGUUUAUUAAAUGAUAUCCCACGAUUUAAUUUACUUAUGUUAUAAGCUUAUAUAUCGUUGUUAAAAAUAUUUUUAAAGAAAUUUAAUAUUUAAAUAUUAUAAUAAUAAAAAAAAUCAGAUCAAGAUGUAGUGUAUACAUGAGUAUAAAUGGGUUACAUUAAUUUUAAUUGAGGUUUAAAUUUUUAAGAAUUUAAUUAAUAUGGAUUUGAUAGUAAUUUUAAUUAUUUUAUUAAAAUGAUAUUGUUCUAAAAUAUGUACAUAUUGCCCGUCGCUUUCAUUUAAAAUGAAAUAAGUCGUAACAAAGUAAGUUUACUGGAAAGUGAAUUUAGAUUCAA